This 408-nucleotide ribosomal RNA is filed under the name Triticum aestivum (bread wheat). RNAcentral's name for it is "partial small subunit ribosomal RNA". Lineage: Eukaryota; Viridiplantae; Streptophyta; Magnoliopsida; Poales; Poaceae. The record is from RNAcentral.
AUGAAAAGAAACAAAAGCCCUGGACCUGAUGGAUUCCCUGCUGAUUUUUACCAGGACUUUUGGGAUUUAGUUAAAUGGGAUAUAAAAGCUCUGGUUGAAGGUUUUUCUAAAGGUGAAAUCAAUAUUGCCAGGCUUAAUUAUGGCAUCAUAACUCUUGUCCCAAAAACCAAUGAUGCCAAGCAAAUUCAAAAAUUCAGGUCUAUUUGCCUGUUGAAUGUUAGUUUUAAGAUCAUAACUAAAGUGCUGAUGAACAGGCUAGCUAAAUGUGUUUCCGUAAUAUCUAGAACCCAAACUGCCUUUAUUAAGGGUAGAUAUAUUAUGGAGGGAGUAGUUAUUCUACAUGAAGCUUUGAACACUUUCCAUAAAGAGAGAGAAGAUGCUUUGAUUUUCAAAGUAGACUUUUUUUAG